Sus scrofa (pig) is the source of this 4426-nucleotide non-coding RNA. Lineage: Eukaryota; Metazoa; Chordata; Mammalia; Artiodactyla; Suidae. The record is from RefSeq and is a predicted model, not a curated record.
GCUGUGCCCUCUUGGAAAGGCAGCAGUCAAAGCAUCUUAGAAUCCUUGGGAGGACCCCCGUUCAGACCUCCAUUCCUGGAAGGGAGCCGGCCAGAAAGUUGCCAGUGGUUUGGAUGAGAAGUCCUUGCUCAUAAAGGCAGCCCCCGCCAUGGCUUCAUCGGGUUUCUGAUUGGAGUCUCUCAAGGCUGCACUUAACAUUCCUCACUGGAGCUUGGGGUUUAUUUUAGUCAGUUCUGGCUGCGCUAAUAGCAUUCCAUAGACUGGGUGGCUUACAAACAACAGAAAUGUAUGCUCACAGUUCUGGAGGCUGGGAAGUCCAAGAUCAAGGUGCCAGCAGAUUCGGUGUCUGGUGAGACUCCUCUUCCUGGUUCGUAGAUGCCAUGUUCCUGCUGUGUCCUCACAGGAUUCCUUUCCCACAUAGAUGAUCACAGAAUAUUUGAUAGAGGUGGAGAAAAUCUGAUAAGGAGUCAGCCAGUUGGGAAGGAAGAGCAGGAGAUGACCCAGAGAUUCAAACUCAGGGCUGGAAAAUGGAUAAUUAGGCUCGGCCUGAGAAAUCUGAAGAGACCAUCAUUCAUAAUGGUGGAGGUGACACAUUAAAUGUCAGAGGGACACCCACUCCAUCCCUUGGUGAAAGCAUUUCCCCUCUGGCAAUCAGGAUUUCUAAACACAUCGGGCCCAGAACUGCAGUCAUGGGGAGGAGAAAUCCCCCAAGUGGAUCCCUGGGAGUGAUGUUUUGUUCCUUCCUUCCUUCAUUCAAGACAUGAUUUGAAGACCUCCUAUGGCUCGCCAUGCCAUCAGCCAUGGAGUUAGAAGCAAGAAUGAAAUGUCUUCUGAUCUCAAGGAGUUCACAUCUGAUGGGAAAGCUUGAGGUGCCAUCAGCUGAUUAUCUGGGUUCUGCCUUCUCUUCCUCCAUGGACUCUAUUAUCAUAUGAGGCUUGGAUGCUAGCGGCCCUGAAGUUAGCUGAUAGCAAUAGGAGGUUCAGAUCCCUUCUAUUUAAAUAAGGGGGCUCAAAACAUUGCAUUUUAAACCAUUAAUGUGAAUUCUGAUCUCAUCUGUCAUUAGCACAUGGGGAAGUCACAGAUAAUCAGUAGUUUAUUAUAAAGUGUGGUGAAGUGUGAGAGCCUACUCUGGGGGUGUAGGAGAGGCAGGGUGCCAAGCCACAGUGUUCAGUAGGUGAGCUGGGGUGGGAAACACUGGUAUCAAUUAUCAACCUGGUACCACUCACUCUCUCCUGAGGUCUCCUCUGCACCACAGAGAAGCCAGGAAAUGCAUCUUCGAACCCCCUUCCCCAUGGAGUUCUGGGCUAUAAUUUUCCAAGGUGCAGCGGGGUGGAGAGAUUUUGAGUUUAUGCACGGAAAAAUUUGUGACCACUAGGUGGCAGUAGCAGGCAUAAAUUCUGCUCCGGCAACACGGGUGUUGAUAGCUCUGCAGUCCAGUUCACCCGGCUCCAAAGCCCACACGCUUAACCAGUGGACGACAUGGUCUUGUUGGAGUCCGUGCAUGGGGCUUCAAGUCAGAGAGCUGUUAUGGAAGGAGAAACCAGCCCAUUCACUGCAGGGUCCGAAUCAGGGAUAACUGUAUAGUGUGUGUGUGUGUGUGUGUGUGGUGAUAAGAGAGAAUCAGGAGGAAGAAGGAGAAGGUGGAGGGGUGGUGGGAGAACCAGCUAGAUGUGCCUGGGGCAAGUGAGAAUUUGAGUUGCUCUCACCGUGGCAAAGAAGAGGAAGAGAAGAGCCUCUUUGCCGGGGGUCGGACCUGAAGCUCCUGGGACACCAGGUGGUUUUUGCCUUGGUGGGUACUUGAUUUCCAAGUUCAGAAGAGAGGUCUGGGCUUACCAUUUGGAAUCAUCAGCAGAGGCGGUGGUUUCUAUCGUGGGAAGAAGUAUGAUGGACUGUGCGGUGGGCGACGGUAGCUUAGGAGGGAGGAUUCAGAAAACUGCCCUAAGCAGUGGGCUUGCCCAGCCAGGAAGCAGCUACAAGGAGUGAAUGAGGUGAGUAUUCCGUGAAGAGAGCGCUGGGCUGGGUCAGAUACUCCAGAAAGGGCCAGCCUUACAACUGCAUCUUUCCCCUGCUUCCAACGUACACACCCAGGUGUGCCAUAGGCAUCUCAGCUCUACCUUGUCGCCAAAGCACACGUGGGAUCUUCCCCCAUCUUGCACCUCCUAGAAUCGUCUGUAUCUCAACACCCUUCCUGAUCCUCAGGCUUUAAAACCUGGGAUCCUCCUGGCCUCUUCUCUUCCAUAUCUUGCAUCUAUUCCAUCAUCAAAUAUGGUGGGCUCAGAGCUAGGCAUAUCAUGAGUCUAACUUCAUCUUGCUACCCCCAUGGGUACCAGCCUGGAUGAAGCACGUUCAUUUCUCACGGAGUAAUGGCACCAGCUUCCCCACUCAUCUCUCUGCUUCCACCCUUGUCUCCUAUUGCUGUAUCACAACAUGACGACAUUACUGCAAAACUGUACAUCUGAGAAUGUGGUUUCUCUGCCCCAAGCCCUUCAGAGGUCGCCCGUCUCACUCAGGGGAAAACCCUUAGUGCUGGGGGUUCGGCCAAGGGCUGGAGGAUGUGGUAGUGUGAGCCAGUCUCUUAGUGGCCUGGAUGCUGAGGAUUUGUUUCAAAUCUCAGUAUCUGCCCAGUUGCUGCGUCUCCCCAUCUGUGCAUUAGUGAAAAUAAUUUAUCAGUGCCGUACCGGUCAUCUGAACAAAAUGAGAUAUAUUGUUUUGAACCAAGACGACACUUAUCUCAGCAGGGACUUGAUGAGGGUCAGGGAAGACGAGUCCCAGCUCGUUGCAUUUUCUGUGGACCGUCCCGUCCGGGUCUCCCUGGCCAUGCUUGCACACUGGUCAGAAACCUUCCUGUAGCCCCCAGGAGAGGGCACUCCCCUCAGAGACUGGUGCCCAAGGGAGGGUGUCUCAAAGGCUGAUAACUUGGGCAACUUCGAUAGUGUCUUUGUUGGGGUUAGUGUGGUCCUUUUGCAGGACAGUUAACCGUUGCUCAAAAGGACCCCUGAUUGGUUGAUCACUGGGGGUUUGAGCCAAUCUCAUUCCAGCUCAGGGGGACCUCUGUGACCUCCUGGCUACAGGGUGGUCUUAUUUACAGCCAGCAAAGGGAAAGAGGUCAGAGCUGCUAUAGGGAGUCAGAAGCACAAGAGCCAGGAAACCAGCUACUCAGCAUCCCAGCUUUCAUUCAACCGCUGGUUGGUGAAUCUUGGCCAAAGAUUUCCCCCUCUUUGGCUUUAGUUUUUUAUCUGUAAAAUCAAGACUUUGGACCACAUCUUUUCUUUAAGCCAGCUCUUUUUAGCUUUAACACCCACUUUUUACUUAUUUAUUUUUAUUUUUAAAAUUAAAACAAAUUGUUGGCGUAUAGUUGACUUACAGUGUAGUGUUAGCUUCGGGUGCGCAGCGAAGUGAGUCAGUUAUACAUGCACAUAUAUCUGUUCCCUUUCAGAUCACUUUUCCAGCUAGGUCACCACAGAGCAGUGAGUAGAUUUGCCUGUGCUGUACAGUAGGUCCCUGUUAGUCAUCCAUCCUGUAUCUGGCUGUAACACUCAAUUUUUUAGAUAGGAUUUUUAUUAAUUUUUAUGAGUUUUGGUUUCCUAGAAAAUUGGGAAAGUAUAUCUCUUCCUGAGAGUUUUUAUGACGAUCAAUUGCAGUCCUAUUUGGAAAUGGACUCUGCAAACUGUAAAGUACUCUGAAAAUGUUAGUUGCCAUUAUCUUUAUGGUCAUGUCAGGAUAGGAGCUUAGUGGAUUACAAAAAGACCAUGUUCAAAAUUAUUAUUUCCAAACAGAAACAGAUUGCAUUUGAGUCACGCCGUCUGUCUUAUCAAAGUUGAGGCAGAUGCACAGGGUCACUCGGAAUGGUCAGGAUGCUUGCUCAAAGAAUGGCGAUUUUAUCUUCUGGGAGCGGGACAGGGUGGUGGCUGACACGCAAUUACUAAUUCAGAGAGGCACAGGGCGUCAUUCUGCAGGGCAUGCUGCCCUCUGGUAACUCAUCAAUAAAAUACUGGGUUCAGUUGUGCAGAGUCCACAGCUAAUCUGAGAGCAACAUUCUCACUUGGAAAUGCUGGUUGGCCUUGGGGCCAGAGUGUCAGAGCAGCCUGUGGGUCUGGAAUAAAUAUGCCAUGGAAGGAGAUAAGUUUUCAACACCGCUUCUUUUCCUGCAUCCAAAGGACAACCCUGAAGUUGGGGCAGCAGUGGUUAUUGUGGCCCUGGGAAAAUUCUACCUGCGGAGGGCGGGGCUCAUGCUUGCCCUGGUCUUGCUGGUUCCCUUCUGCAAGAUGGCCGCCUCCAAGCCGGGAGUGGUCCAGACCCUCCGCCUCAGGGGGGAAUCUCCAAGGGUCCAGUGAAACCACUAGCAGCCCUUGAAGUAGACCCCCAUAUUGGAGUUUUUCCUCAUUAAUCAUUUUUCAUUUUUUUUUUUUUUGUCUUUUUGCCUUUU